This is a long non-coding RNA of Vicia villosa (hairy vetch), 1431 nucleotides long. RefSeq lists it as uncharacterized. The transcript has 7 exons. NCBI's taxonomy places the organism in Eukaryota, Viridiplantae, Streptophyta, Magnoliopsida, Fabales, Fabaceae. The record is from RefSeq and is a predicted model, not a curated record.
CUUCACUUUUCUGAUGUCCUUUUUGUUUUCUCUUUCUCUUUCUUCCAUAUACAUCUGCUUCCUCUUUGUUCUCUAUCCCAAACUACAAUGACCACUGUUUCAAACCCUACAUGCCAUCUCCGUUUCAAAAGUCAUUCGGCCAUCACGUUUCAACGGCAUAAACUAGAUCUGAUGAUUAAACUGCAGCAAGAGAAACACCGAGCAACUCAAGUAUUUGCUUUUGGAUUGUCGAUUCGAUUUCAAGCGAAGAUGAUAGAGAUCUGUUUGUGGGUUGUGGUUUUGUUUCAAGCGAAUAAUUGAUGGCAGCAUAUCUGAAGUUUUCGGUGAUUUUACUUAUGUUUGCGAUUCCGCAAUGGAUUUUAAUGUGAGAAAAAUGAAGCAUCGGCAUGGGAAGUAGCUCCAAAGCGCGUGUUGGCCAACCACGGUUGCCGGGGAAAAUCGUUGUUGUUAGAAUAUAGUCAAUGAGAAAUCCAUCAAGUAACUUGGUUUCAAAGAUAGCAGCUUCUGAAGGUGGUGAGAAAGGUCUCUUUUAUGGGUGGGUGCUGCUUCAAAGAAAACACAUAUGAAGCCUCGCACAAAUCGAAGGUGCUUAAUGAAACGUAUUUUGGAAAAACCUAAACGGUGAGGAAAAGUAGGUUUGCUUGAGGCAAAGCUUCAUGCACUGCGUCACAAGAUUCACCGGUUAUAAUGCAAAGACAUGCUCAAGAAAAAGGUGACGCUGAAGUCAUCAUUGCCAAGGAAAGAGUAACAACUGAAGACUUUCUGUUGUGUCACAUAAACUAAAAGAAAAUAGAAGACCAUAGGUUGCAAACUCCUUAUACUUAGAGCUCCAUUGUUUCAUCUUUCUGGUUUUGUAGAGGGAUUCUCGGAAAUGGUUAUACCGCGGGCGGGGGUCGAGCUGGUGCGGCUUCAGUGAGGUUGAUUCGUGUUGUAAAGUUGGUAUCGGUGCAGUGGUUGCUGGUUUUCGUAGGGGUCAAAGAAUUGGGAUAUUUUUGAGUUCGGAUAUUUUUGACAUAACUGACCAUGCAAUUGUUGUUGGUGCUGCAGAAUGUCUGAAGGAGUUUAAUUUGAGGAUUGUUAUAAAGUUGAUAUACGAAUCUAAAAAUUUGAUAUUAUUGUUAGCAUUUAUUGUUUAUUCGGCUUACUUGCUACUAUAGAAUGAUUUGAUUAUAACAGGGACUAACUGAGACAAAUAAAGAUGUUCAUGCUGCACCAUGGGAAAAUAUUGGUAUGUUACAGCAUGGCAGUUUGUUGGUUUAAGUGUCAUUAUAAGUGUAGUGCUCACCAGUAGGGUAAUUUUUCAAAGGAUGAAGAACUAAACUGUUAGUUUUCUUUCUUUCACUGUCGCCAAGUAAGGUAAUGUUACUAAAAUCUUUAAACACUUAAUUUCGUUUUUGAUUGUGUUUAUUUGUUAAUUUGUUCGGUUUUGAA